GAUAAACGCUGGCGGCGUGCUUUACCAAUGCGAGUCGGACGCGGCGGCCUUCGGGCCGCCGAGUGGCGGCAGGGUGCGUAACACGUGGGUGACCUGACCCGGCGUGGGGGACACCCGCCCGAAAGGGCGGCUAAUACCGCAUGCGCUCGCCCCCCGUGGGGGGCGCGGAAAGCCCCGUCCCCGUGAGGGGAGGGGGCGCGCCGGGAGGGGCCCGCGGCCUAUCAGCUGGUCGGUGGGGUAACGGCCUACCGAGGCGGUGACGGGUAGCCGGUCUGAGAGGACGAACGGCCACACUGGGACUGGGACAUGGUCCAGAGCCCUACGGGGUUUAGCAUGGAGGAAUCUUGCGCAACGGGGGCAACCCCGGCGCAGCAACGCCGCGUGGGGGAGGAAGGCCCUCGGGUCGUAAACCCCUGUUGCUCGGGAAGAAGUACCCGCCGGUCGCGCCGGGGGGGAAGACGGUACCGGGCGAGGAAGCCCCGGCUAACUACGUGCCAGCCGCCGCUGUAACAC
Molecule: ribosomal RNA, 513 nt
Filed under: uncultured bacterium
Lineage: Bacteria
Description: partial 16S ribosomal RNA
Rfam family: Bacterial small subunit ribosomal RNA
Source: RNAcentral